This 325-nucleotide ribosomal RNA is filed under the name uncultured eukaryote. RNAcentral's name for it is "partial 18S ribosomal RNA". It matches the Rfam family "Eukaryotic small subunit ribosomal RNA", at positions 1470 to 1796 of the family's 1831-position model. The record is from RNAcentral.
CCCUUAGAUGUUCUGGGCCGCACGCGCGCUACACUGAUGCAUUCAACGAGCCUAUCCUUGACCGACAGGUCCGGGUAAUCUUUGAAUCUGCAUCGUGACGGGGAUAGAUUAUUGCAAUUAUUAAUCUUCAACGAGAAAUGCCUAGUAGGCGCAAGUCAUCAGCUUGCGUCGAUUACGUCCCUGCCCUUUGUACACACCGCCCGUCGCUCCUACCGAUUGGGUGUGCUGGUGAAAUGUUCGGAUCGGCCGUUUGUCGCGGUUUCCGCGUCAUGUGGCUGAGAAGUUCAUUAAACCCUCCCACCUAGAGGAAGGAGAAGUCGUAACA